UAGCCUACGGGGGGCAGCAGUGAGGAAUAUUGGUCAAUGGGCGGGAGCCUGAACCAGCCAAGCCGCGUGAGGGAAGAAGGUACAGCGUAUCGUAAACCUCUUUUGUCAGGGAACCCAGGCGGGGACUAGUCCCCGGAUGAGGGUCCCUGCCGAAAACGCCUCGGCUAACUCCGUGCCCGCAGCCGCGGUAAUCCGGAGGCUGCGAGCGUUAUCCGGCUUUAUUGGGUUUCAAGGGUGCGC
Molecule: ribosomal RNA, 240 nt
Filed under: uncultured bacterium
Lineage: Bacteria
Description: partial 16S ribosomal RNA
Rfam family: Bacterial small subunit ribosomal RNA
Source: RNAcentral